Molecule: ribosomal RNA, 808 nt
Filed under: uncultured Dikarya
Lineage: Eukaryota; Fungi
Description: eukaryotic LSU rRNA
Rfam family: Eukaryotic large subunit ribosomal RNA (bases 597-808)
Source: RNAcentral
UCGGACCGGCCCCAGAUGAAGGGCAACUUUCGUCCAGGGUAGGAAAGUCAGUCAAACUUGGUCAUUUAGAGGAAGUACAAGUCGUAACAAGGUUUCCGUAGGUGAACCUGCGGAAGGAUCAUUAUAGAAUUGGUUGCUUGCAACCUUCACUAUAACAUACUGUUCACGUUCCUGUUGCUUCCCUAGCGUUAGGAGGCUUUCCCCUUGCGGGACUGUUUCUGCUAGGGAGCUUUGUAAAACAUAUUGUGUAUUUAUUCUGAAUCUACCAUGAAAAUGGAUAUUAAAACUUUCAACAACGGAUCUCUAGGCUCUUGCAUCGAUGAAGAACGCAGCGAAAUGCGAUACGUAGUGUGAAUUGCAGACUCCAGUGAAUCAUCGAAUCUUUGAACGCACAUUGCGCCCACUGGUAUUCCGGUGGGCAUGCCUGUCUGAGCGUCAGUAUAAUCUCAAGCAACCGCUUGGUAUUGGAAGAUGAUCUGCCUAGCAGUUCCCUUCUUAAACUGAUUGGCAAGUUUACAUAGCAGCAAGCGUAGUAGAAAUACCAUCAGCUUAGUUACUCUGUAUAGCUUUGUCAAAAUCAAACUAUUUUUAAGGUUUGACCUCAGAUCAGGUAAGGAUACCCCCUGAACUUAAGCAUAUCAAUAAGGGGAGGAAAAGAAACCAACAGGGAUUGCCCUAGUAACGGCGAGUGAAGCGGCAUCAGCUCAAAUUUGAAAUCUGGCUCUUUCAGAGUCCGAGUUGUAAUUUGUAGAGGCAUAUUCGGGAAGCGGUUUAGUCUAUGUUCUUUGGGACAGGGCGUCAUAGAGGG